CCUGCCCAGUGACAAACGUUAAACGGCCGCGGUAUUCUGACCGUGCAAAGGUAGCAUAAUCAUUUGUUCUUUAAAUAAGGACUUGUAUGAAUGGCCACACGAGGGUUUUACUGUCUCUUACUUCCAAUCAGUGAAAUUGACCUUCCCGUGAAGAGGCGGGAAUAAGAAAAUAAGACGAGAAGACCCUAUGGAGCUUUAACUAGUUAGCUUAAAGAAAAAAAAACUUUACCACCAAGGAAUAACACUAAUCUUAAUAAACUAACAGUUUCGGUUGGGGUGACCUCGGAGAAUAAAAAACCCUCCGAGCGAUUUUAAAAACAAGACACACAAGUCAAAUUGAAUUAUCGCUUAUUGAUCCAAAAUUUGAUCAACGGAACAAGUUACCCUAGGGAUAACAGCGCAAUCCUAUUCAAGAGUUCAUAUCGACAAUAGGGUUUACGACCUCGAUGUUGGAUCAGGACACCCCGAUGGUGCAACCGCUAUCAAAGGUUCGUUUGUUCAACGAUUAAAGUCCUACGUGAUCUGAG
RNAcentral lists this ribosomal RNA (527 nucleotides) under Gazella bennettii (chinkara). Its description in RNAcentral is "partial 16S ribosomal RNA". It matches the Rfam family "Bacterial large subunit ribosomal RNA", at positions 1858 to 2609 of the family's 2925-position model. Lineage: Eukaryota; Metazoa; Chordata; Mammalia; Artiodactyla; Bovidae. The record is from RNAcentral.